UGCAGAGACACACAAAAGGCGGUGAGUCGGCACGUACGGUGGCGGUUUUGAGGGACUCACCAUGGUUCCCACGCUGUACGUGGCGGCGGGGCCGAUCGUGUGGUGGUAGGGGUCGGCCGUUGCAUAGACUCUGCCGUAGCUGCAUGUGAAAAGGGAAGAUUUGGUUCAGGCUCGGUCAAGCUGCAUCUCAACAAUCGUAUACGUGUCCUUACUAGGCAGGUAAAUGAUUUAUUUACGGUGAGACAACACUCUAGCGGCUGUACUGGAAAUUUUACCAGUACUCCAUUUUACGUCUAAUUAGGUAAUGUUGUGGUGAAGCAGCAUGUGGCUAAAAAAUGUUUAGGUUUAGGUAGGUGGAACAACAGACAAGCUGCUGAAAUAGAAAUUUCUCAGAACCGGCUUUUACAUGUGAUAUCUUGGUGAAGCAGCAUUUGGCUCCAGAUUAUUAGACACAGUUCCAGGAGGGUAAAAGAUGAGUUUAAGUGUGACAAGAGCUUCUGUAAUUGAUAUUCAUACCAACAGGACCCAAAAAGUGAUCAGAUAAUGUCUUGGAGAAGCAGCAUGUGGCUCCAUGUUUGAGUGUCACAGUAACUGCCAACAAUUGUACAUUUGUGAAAAUGAGCCAGCUUAUGUUUACUGUCGUGGAACAUCAGCUCCCAUGUUAGAAGACUACUGGUUCACGCAGUUUCUCUUCCAGCUCAUUGUAAAACAGAACAGGGAAGAUUGGUCGCUUCCAUUGAUCUUUCUAUCAUUUUUGUGUUCUUGUUUAACUCUGACGCGUGGAAGACAUGCCGCAGUUGUACUUGUGACGGGAGACAAAAGACGAGAGCGAGAGAACACAGUCACACCCGGAGGGGCACGCCGGACGUACGCCUCCCUCCCUCCCCGCGGCUUUUCAUCAUUGCCGCGAGAAGAUAAGACGGCUGAGGACCGAGGGCAGCAAAUCAUGCAAAACAAAACGGGGGAAGUCAUCCUCAAGGAGACGACUUAAAGGAGGAGCUGGCCCUUUAAGAGCGUCAGGAGUGAAGAGAGAAGCCAAGACCCUCAGGCACUCUCACACCAAAACGUCUUUCGCGCAAGUUUGAGAGACAUCCACCAGGGGGUCCCCUAGAGUGUCGGCGACCCGCAAGGAGUGAAACUCCUCAGUGCAAACACACGGACACACACUUUAUCAGCAAACACCGAGUGCAUUCGAAACUUCAGCCUUCAUGAACAUCGACUCAAGUCCAGCAAGUAACAGUCCUAGAGGAAAAAUGACCACCGCGAAAUCCUGGGAAAUACAAGUAGUGACAAAUCUCCAGCUCUGCAGACCAGCUCCACUUUGCAGUCAACACAUUGCGAUAAAUCUUCUUUUAUUAAGUGUGUAAUGAUCCCAAACUCCGGAUAUUCUCUGUCUUUAACACACUCUUUCCUGCGAUUUAGUGUAACAUCUGUGCUACUGUGACACUGGGAAAGUGCGUGUUUGUCUGUGGGGGUUGUGUUUGGGCUUCAUCUGUGAGUCUGGGAGGGUCGAGAAUCACUUUAAACUGACUGAGCUCCCAAAUUCACUGCAUUCUGAGAGAGAAACGGCACCUGCUGCAUUAUUAAACAUCCUUUUCCUUUCCGCGACAUGCCGCCGGCUGGCCAAUCAAGUACAACGGGAGAAAGCGGCGGUGGCGGGGCGUGGUGGCGGCAGGCGAGUGUUCAUUUGCCAGAGUGCGGAAGGAAUUAAGGAGCUCAUUGUUGGGGCGCCGUGCUAACUCUGUGAAAAAUGGAGUGGGCCAACUUCUUUUUCUAUUAGCCAUCUGGGUCUCGCUCAGGUGCCGUUUAAUAAUGCAGCGACUGUUCAUUUUCAAACUCACAGGGAGGUGGCAUGAGAAUUCAGGUCAGAGGUUCACAAAGGCCCAUAACCACCCCACUGCCCACCCUUCCCUGCUUUCCCUUCGGGUUUGUUAGUUUUCCCGCAAGGGACAGGAAGUGGCGGACGGAUGACUUCCUGUGGGACUGCCACGCCUCGGGACUGAUUACAACUGUGGUCGGCGCAAACGUGGGGGCCAUAAAUCACCGCCGCCCAUGUUGUCAAAUCCUGCAUACGACAGCGCAGCACAUUUGUUAUUGUGUCGCGGCAGGCGUGUACGUGAACGCUCAUUAGCAUAAGUGACAUAUGUGUGGCAUAUUUGCGCUAAUUUGCUCGCAGGUCAGUAAAGGGAGACGAUUGCAAGGAUAGCGGGUGGCGAUGAUGUGAUGGUGGGGUGCGAUGGGUGAUGGGGUUUGUAUUCAUGUGACUGAAGGUGGUGAUGAUGGCUGGCGGUAAUGAUUAUGUUCACUCGUUCACUGCUGUGGACGCUGAUAUGCAUCAAGUAUAUCCCACUGCUACCCACAUACAGUAUAUAUUCUUUAAGAUAUGUUUUCCAACAAGGUAGCUGUGGAAGAGAAGUCUAUGAAUAUCAAGUUUGUAAUCCACUUUAAUGACAAACAGAUCCUUGUAGAUGGCGCCGUUGAAUCGCUUAAAGAGGUGACUCUCGGCUUGUCACGUCAGAAAUGUGGGAGAGAAAUCCCAACACAAUGGAAAACGGAUAAGUUUGGGCACCUCACAGUCAAACAGAUGAAUGUUUUUAACCAUUAAAUUUUAACAAAUUUUAUUUAUCAUAAAAAAUGCAAAUACUCGUCAUCUUAAAUCCAACAAAAAUAUUUUUGGGCAUAAAAUUUUGAAAUUCUGUGUAAAAUGUGCCAAUUUAAGUUGAAAUUUUAAAUUAAGAUGGUGAAUUUUUAUUACCAUUUUUUUUUUUUACAAAGAAAUGUCUUAUGGUAAUUAUAGAAAAAUAGGAUCUUUCAACUACCUAAACAACAACUUGAACCAGCAAAUUUCUAAAAUACAACACACCAUUUCAAUUAAAAAAAUAUUUUUUUUUUAACAACACAUUUCAGCAAUUCAUUGUUAAAGUUCAAGCGCUUAAAUUCAGUCAAAUGAUGUUAAAAAAAAUCCUGUGUUAUGUUGUGCUGUUUUUAAACCAUCUGCAUUUGAAUUUGAAUUUAUGACAAUUUUUCAAAUUUCAAAUUUUUAAUUCUUCAAAUCUUACAUUUAAUAUUUGUAACUCAAAUUUGACCUUUUUCAUCACCCAAAAACUCUGUGUAAAACAUUUCUAAAUUAGAUGGCACAGAUCUGAUCGUAUUUUUGAAUUUAAAUGUAAGAUAUUCAUUUGAAGACAAUGAUUUUUUUUUACUUUGAUAGUAAGAAGAAAUGGUUAGAAAAUUGCUGGUAAAAAAAAAUUGAGAGAAAUUGUACUUUAAAUUUGACAAUGAUUCUGAGAGAUGUCCGGGUCUUGAUCAAGUGAAAGCUUAACUUUUGGUAUCUGAACAAGCCGGACAAAAAUCCGUCAUUCGCGGUGGGUGUCUCAGCAAUAAACAUUGGUGACAUCUCAGCCCCAUCACGAUGGGCGGUCUGUGCGGGUGGAAGGUGGGGAGGGGGUCAUAAAUCUCUUUGGGGGAGGUGGGGUCAUAUAAUUCUGGCUCUUCUCUAUCAGACGCUUCCAGCAUGAGUGAGUGAGAGCCGACUGUGUUAUCUUGCGAUCUUAACGAACGUGCUUGCUCGUGCAUCCCUUCCCUGAAGUGGGGCAUGGUGCUAAUUUGGCUAUUAUUUCUCCCUACCCCCGUCAACGGUGGUGUUCGCCCCUGAAGCUACCCCUGCCUGCACGAACAUCAGUGAGGGGACGGCUAAUCCCCUUAUCUGCCGCCCCCCCUCUUAUCUCCGGGUAGCUCGUGUCAGCCAGGCUCCACACAGGUCUGCGCGAAACCCCCCCUGCCAUAGGGACUGGACUUGGAUACCCCAUCUGGGCCCUCGGAAGUGCACAAAACAGGAGAAUGAAGGACAGGAAGUUUAGGCGGUUGGAGCUGAGGGGGUUUUAAGUGUUCUUGUCAGGUUUCUUGGCGGAGGCAACCUGUGCCUAAUUGACAACGAAUUGGCAAGGAGACCGGGACACCGCCCAAUGCUGCGGGGGAUCACAUUGUUCCCCGAGAGACAC
Long non-coding RNA from Syngnathoides biaculeatus (alligator pipefish), 4001 nucleotides. RefSeq lists it as uncharacterized. Lineage: Eukaryota; Metazoa; Chordata; Actinopteri; Syngnathiformes; Syngnathidae. The record is from RefSeq and is a predicted model, not a curated record. The transcript has 5 exons.